UUUAAUUUCAUUCCUUUUUUUGUUUUUGUUUUCCACUUUACUGGACAUCACCCACCAACCCUUCACUGGACAUACAAUGAAGAAUUAAUAACAGAUUUGAGAUUCUCAAUGAUCAAUUCAUGAUUAUUUGGGUCACUUUGAGUAACACACCCUGGAGAACUUUCUUGGGAGAGAGCUGAUCCAGUGGUGGGGGAAAGAAAUUAAAUUGGGGAAAUUUUAAUUAGGAAUAAUCUGCAAUAAAGAUGUCUUCCACUUUUAUUUGCACUAAAGUUGAGGGGGAAAAAGAAAAAGGGGGGAAAAAAAACUGUGAACCAUAGCACUAUAGGUGGUUUGGUUAAGAUGUUCAUCUUCAUGAAUGGCAUUGAAGACACCACAGCAAAGCAAGUCUUCUCAGACAACAUAAACACUAACACGAG
RNAcentral lists this long non-coding RNA (416 nucleotides) under Manihot esculenta (cassava). RNAcentral describes it as "long non-coding RNA (MESC_LNC009333)". The record is from RNAcentral. Lineage: Eukaryota; Viridiplantae; Streptophyta; Magnoliopsida; Malpighiales; Euphorbiaceae.